CAGGCUUAACACAUGCAAGUCGAGGGGCAGCAUGGUCUUAGCUUGCUAAGACUGAUGGCGACCGGCGCACGGGUGAGUAACACGUAUCCAACCUGCCGUCUACUCUUGGACAGCCUUCUGAAAGGAAGAUUAAUACAAGAUGGCAUCAUGAGUCCGCAUGUUCACAUGAUUAAGGGUAUUCCGGUAGACGAUGGGGAUGCGUUCCAUUAGAUAGUAGGCGGGGUAACGGCCCACCUAGUCUUCGAUGGAUAGGGGUUCUGAGAGGAAGGUCCCCCACAUUGGAACUGAGACACGGUCCAAACUCCUACGGGAGGCAGCAGUGAGGAAUAUUGGUCAAUGGGCGAGAGCCUGAACCAGCCAAGUAGCGUGAAGGAUGACUGCCCUAUGGGUUGUAAACUUCUUUUAUAAAGGAAUAAAGUCGGGUAUGCAUACCCGUUUGCAUGUACUUUAUGAAUAAGGAUCGGCUAACUCCGUGCCAGCAGCCGCGGUAAUACGGAGGAUCCGAGCGUUAUCCGGAUUUAUUGGGUUUAAAGGGAGCGUAGAUGGAUGUUUAAGUCAGUUGUGAAAGUUUGCGGCUCAACCGUAAAAUUGCAGUUGAUACUGGAUAUCUUGAGUGCAGUUGAGGCAGGCGGAAUUCGUGGUGUAGCGGUGAAAUGCUUAGAUAUCACGAAGAACUCCGAUUGCGAAGGCGGCCUGCUAAGCUGCAACUGACAUUGAGGCUCGAAAGUGUGGGUAUCAAACAGGAUUAGAUACCCUGGUAGUCCACACGGUAAACGAUGAAUACUCGCUGUUUGCGAUAUACUGCAAGCGGCCAAGCGAAAGCGUUAAGUAUUCCACCUGGGGAGUACGCCGGCAACGGUGAAACUCAAAGGAAUUGACGGGGGCCCGCACAAGCGGAGGAACAUGUGGUUUAAUUCGAUGAUACGCGAGGAACCUUACCCGGGCUUAAAUUGCAGAUGAAUUACGGUGAAAGCCGUAAGCCGCAAGGCAUCUGUGAAGGUGCUGCAUGGUUGUCGUCAGCUCGUGCCGUGAGGUGUCGGCUUAAGUGCCAUAACGAGCGCAACCCUUGUUGUCAGUUACUAACAGGUUCCGCUGAGGACUCUGACAAGACUGCCAUCGUAAGAUGUGAGGAAGGUGGGGAUGACGUCAAAUCAGCACGGCCCUUACGUCCGGGGCUACACACGUGUUACAAUGGGGGGUACAGAGGGCCGCUACCACGCGAGUGGAUGCCAAUCCCCAAAACCUCUCUCAGUUCGGACUGGAGUCUGCAACCCGACUCCACGAAGCUGGAUUCGCUAGUAAUCGCGCAUCAGCCACGGCGCGGUGAAUACGUUCCCGGGCCUUGUACACACCGCCCGUCAAGCCAUGGGAGCCGGGGGUACCUGAAGUGCGUAACCGCGAGGAGCGCCCUAGGGUAAAACUGGUGACUG
Molecule: ribosomal RNA, 1430 nt
Filed under: uncultured organism
Description: 16S ribosomal RNA
Rfam family: Bacterial small subunit ribosomal RNA
Source: RNAcentral